Molecule: non-coding RNA, 955 nt
Organism: Nelumbo nucifera (sacred lotus)
Lineage: Eukaryota; Viridiplantae; Streptophyta; Magnoliopsida; Proteales; Nelumbonaceae
Source: RefSeq, a predicted model, not a curated record
CCAGGCCAGACCAAACCACAACAAGCUUCCAGCGGAAAGGAUUUUUCAGUUCUAGUCUCCAAGACCAAGGACACAACAGUAGCAGAAACAAUGGACUACACUGACCUUCCACACUCUCAGAUAAGAAAAGUAAUCACCUUAGCUUAUUUAUUGCAUAUGUUAAUAGGAAUACAGAGACCUAACAUGGUGAAAUGGAAACUUUAUCAUCUCUUUUACCCUGUUUUUGACAGGUCACAGUCACAGCUUCACGCUUGCUACUUUCAAAACAAACUAUUCCUCAUUACUAAUUGACAGUGGACACAUGUGUUGACAAACUUAUGGAGUUCAUCCAAGUGUGUGCAAGGGAGCUUAUGUGUCCAGCUUAUCAUGAACUAUGUAACUCCAUAUCAGMACCAUAUCUUGAAUUAUGUAAGUUCAGUCCUUAUUUCUUCUUUUUUUUUAAUUUCUGCAAAAUAUUUGAACCAUUAAUCCAAUAAUUAUAUAGUAGAUUAAAAACAUGAAACAUCAAUUUUUCCUUUUUAAGUUGAGAUGGGGUUUGAAACUAUCUAACUCUAAAAUUUUUCUAGUCAACUAAUACAUGUCUUAUAUCUAUCUCAUAGGGACCAUUAUAAAUGGAAGCAAUUAAUCCCUGCAAUUGGCUCCUAUACCAAUAUGUCUCAUAUCCAAGCAACAGUUAUUUGUUCUAGAAAAGCAGGCCUACAACUUAGUGUCCGAAGUGGUGGCCACGACUAAGAGGGACUUUCAUAUGCAUCUGAAGUUCCAUUCAUCAUUGUUGACCUGCUAAAUUUUUUAUCUAUUGGCGUUGAUAUAGAAGAUAACAGUGCAUGGAUUCAAGUUGGAUCAAUUCUUGGGGAUGUUUAUUAUAGAGUUGCAGAGAUUUUUGUUUGUUCAUGUAUUUUUCUUUUCAUUUUUUAUGGUGGAGAAUGAUUUUUUUAUUGUGAUUUUUGUUUGUUUA